AUGGAGGUGAGGAUUAUUUCCCCAAAUGAUCGAAGCUGAACAAACUGAGAGAUUGAUUUCUCUUUUAGAGAAAGCCUAUUUUCUGAUCUAU
Eutrema salsugineum is the source of this 91-nucleotide small nucleolar RNA. It matches the Rfam family "Small nucleolar RNA Z103". From Rfam's summary of the family: This family consists of several snoRNA Z103 sequences which are members of the C/D class of snoRNA which contain the C (UGAUGA) and D (CUGA) box motifs. This family seems to be found exclusively in plants. NCBI's taxonomy places the organism in Eukaryota, Viridiplantae, Streptophyta, Magnoliopsida, Brassicales, Brassicaceae. The record is from Rfam.